GAGCUCUCAAUCUGUCAAUCCUUACGGUGUCCGGGCCGGGUGAGUUUCCCCGCGUUGAGUCAAAUUAAGCCGCAGGCUCCACUCCUGGUGGUGCCCUUCCGUCAAUUCCCUUAAGUUUCAGAUUUGCAACCAUACUUCCCCCGGAACCCAAAAGCUUUGGUUUCCCGGAAGCUGCCCGCGAAGUCAUAUAUCUAACUCCCGCGGAUCGCUAGCUGGCAUCGUUUACGGUUAGAACUAGGGCGGUAUCUGAUCGCCUUCGAACCUCUAACUUUCGUUCUUGAUUAAUGAAAACAUUCUUGGCAAAUGCUUUCGCAAUAGUACGUCUUGCGACGAUCCAAGAAUUUCACCUCUAACGUCGCAAUACGAAUGCCCCCGUCUGUCCCUCUUAAUCAUUACUUCUGUUCCGAAAACCAACAAAAUAGAACCGAAGUCCUAUUCUAUUAUUCCAUGCACCACUAUUCAGGCUGACCGCCUGCUUUGAGCACUCUAAUUUUUUCAAAGUAAAAGUUCCAGUCACCCAGAGCACUCGGUAAAGAGCACCAAGGGAAAACCAGAGGAUAAGCCCAGGUAAAGCAGUACCUCCCGUUAGGGGACCGCAAACCUAAAGCGCAGAUCCAACUACGAGCUUUUUAAACGCAACAACUUUAAUAUACGCUAUUGGAGCUGGAAU
This 670-nucleotide ribosomal RNA is filed under the name uncultured metazoan. RNAcentral's name for it is "partial 18S ribosomal RNA". Lineage: Eukaryota; Metazoa. The record is from RNAcentral.